GUGAAUCAUCAAAUUUUUGAACGCAAAUUGCGCCUUUUUCGGAUGGCAUGUCUGUUUGAGGGCACCAUUUAACAAAUAAUGUGCGUUUCGUGUGCACACGUUGAUUAGCUUUCCAAAAUUAUGUGGUAUUAGUUUUGUUUGCGCAUAAUAAACAGCGCGAUGCUGUUUUUCAGUUCGAGUGAUGUAAAAUUUUUUCUUUCUUGGGUUGUGAAAAGCGUCAUCGCUCAAAUGGUUGUGUCGUUUCUACA
RNAcentral lists this unclassified non-coding RNA (248 nucleotides) under Paraglomus occultum. Its description in RNAcentral is "partial contains 5.8S ribosomal RNA and internal transcribed spacer 2". The stretch from base 1 to 65 matches the Rfam family "5.8S ribosomal RNA", at positions 84 to 154 of the family's 154-position model. The record is from RNAcentral. Lineage: Eukaryota; Fungi; Glomeromycota; Glomeromycetes; Paraglomerales; Paraglomeraceae.